Molecule: long non-coding RNA, 1990 nt
Filed under: Homo sapiens (human)
Lineage: Eukaryota; Metazoa; Chordata; Mammalia; Primates; Hominidae
Description: non-protein coding lnc-LSAMP-6:1
Source: RNAcentral
GUGGUUCAUGGGGAAAUGAGAGACUUCCAAAUUGAGGGAAGCAGGAAGAGAAACCAAAGUAGAAAAAAGGCAAGGCAAUAGAAUGAGAUGGAAAAUAAAAACUAUAUUUGGGGAGGAAGCUUGGGCCCUCAUGACCACAUGGCCUCUGAGCGUCUCGGCUUGACACCUUGAAGGGUUGGCCAGUGGAGAGCCACUGACAGGACAUAAUGAAUGGUGCCCGCCUGUGAUAGAUAGCAGUAUAUACAUUGACCUUUCAAAGGUUUAACGAUCUUUUAUAAUAAGUUAGGGUUGAUGUACAUUAGAUAGACUGAUCGUUGAGUAUUUAUUCACCCCGACUUUCAGCAGCCUUGGUUGAUUGAUUAUAGCUUUGCCUACCUUCCCAAAUUGCUCCCUUCAACAUGAUGUGCCUAAGCCUCUGUGAAGAAAAAAGAGGAAGCUUUAGUUUGCAAAUUUUUAGAAUAUGGAUUAAAACUCAGAUUUCAGAGCCAGACCUACAUAUUUUUCAGAAAUCCAAAUUUAAGAUAAUGUCCCCAGACCCAUCUUAUGUAACUUAAAGUUGAACACUAAGGCUAUGUGUUAAAAUCAAAUUUCUCCCCCAUCUAUACAUGUAUUUAUUUACACAGGCAAGCAAACAGAAAUCCAUGGGCAACAUUCUAAAUCAGUCCUUCUGAGCUACUAUGAUGAGAAACAUUUUCAUGAACCUUCUUAGGUCAUAAUGAUACUUUUCUACUUCAGAUUAUUGCAGGAUAUUUUGAUCUGAGAGCAACUCUUCAAGUCUAUAUGUGUUUGGGUUUUUUUUUUUUUGUAAUUUUUUUCCUAUUUUUUUCUCUCUUAUUUCCUAAACACUUUUUAAGAGCAUAACCAUGAACGAAUAUUUACCAGACUGGACCAGUGGUCAUUUUACUCUCCAGUGAUGGCCAGUGUUCCUAUUUAUGAAGGAUAUUACGGUUUUAUCCUGACCUGUGCUGAGAGGCUAAAGAAAAAUGAUUAUCUUUAUAAUGUUCACUGUGUAUAAUGGCCUUGCUCAUAUAACCAGUUACAGAUAAUUAGCCAUGACUGUAUUAAUUAAUCUUUCAAAAAGGUAAGAACUCUAGUAUACACAUUUAUAGAAUUAGUAAGAUGCAUGUUGCUUUUAGCUGAAUGGGUCAAAUAAGUAUGUGUGAAGAAAAGAAACAUUUGAGAGCAAAAAGUACUGCACACACUAAGGAAUUAUUUCUCAUUUGGUAAUCCAAACUCUGACUCUGUGUGUGUGCAUAUGUGUGUAUGUGUAUGUGUGUAUGUGUGUGUGUGUGACUUUAGACAACUGAAGACUUAGCGGUAAGAAUUAUCUGGAGAUUCAUCAUUAUCUGCUAUCAUAUUGUGAUGUCUUGUUGAAUAAUAAAUGUAAAUGCAGUAGAAUUUGUUAGAAAUGUAUUUAACAUAAAUAUAAUACAACAGCUAAAUAACAAGAGCCUCAUAAAUAUUACUUGGGCACUAAGAAAAGUGAAUCCUGGAGUGAAAGGAGAGGAAGAUUUGCUGGACCAAGUUUUUACCUUUAUAACUUCAACCUGUAGACAGUUGGCAUCGGGGCUCACAUCUCUAAUUCAAAUGUUCUGGGAAAUUACAAGUAUAAAUCUCUGCCACAACAAGCAGGAGGGAGGACAAGAGGUCUGCAUAACAUUCCAUUUGGGAAGAUAGAUAGCUUCAGAUUGGAACUGGAAUGUUGAAGCAGUCUAAAUCAACACACAUGUUUCCUUUUGAGUCAUAAUCAGAUAAAUGGUAGGUGAUGACCACAGGGAGGAAAAAGAAAAGUCCAGAAAAUAAUGUUUAUGAAUUUACAAUUUUCAGAAAAAUAAUAUGAAAUAUCUAUUGAAAUUUGUCCCUUACUAAUUUAGCAUAAGACAUUACUGUCCAGCAGUCAAACCAACGUAUGUGAAAAUGUUAGGACCUGAAAUGCCCAUAAAAGCUUUUGAGACUUGUGAAGAUGCCAUUUGUUGUUCAAACGUGCACC